RNAcentral lists this long non-coding RNA (23879 nucleotides) under Gossypium barbadense (sea-island cotton). RNAcentral's name for it is "long non-coding RNA (GBAR_LNC022720)". Lineage: Eukaryota; Viridiplantae; Streptophyta; Magnoliopsida; Malvales; Malvaceae. The record is from RNAcentral.
ACUGGAUGAUUCAUCUUCGUCAUGUAAGCUCAUUAGAUGUAUGCAAUUGGCACUGCUAUGUGUGCAGGAAAAUCCUACAGAUAGGCCGUCAAUGGUGAAAGUUUUUACUAUUCUCAAGAACGAAAACAGUGCUGCAAUCUCUGUACCUAAGCAGCCUGCAUAUUCAAUAACAAGAUACGAAAGGAAGGAAAGUAUAGACAUUGGGAGGAAGAAAGUUUUUUCUGUUAACGAUGCAUCGAUAACCCAAGUGGAACCUCGAUGACUGACAGCUUAUGCAUUUGGGAAACAUUUAUGUAAAAGGAUCUAUUGAAGCAAUGGUUAGCAUGUAGCAAUCACAUGUUUUAUUAUUAUUAUUAUUAUUAUUAUUAUUAUUAUUAUUAUUAUUAUUAUUUGGAUGUAAUGAUGUAACUUAGUUGUAUUCCAACUAAGUUUGUUAGUGGUAGUAAGUGGUGAUUUAUUUUAAGUGGAUGUAAUGAUGAAACUUAGUUGUAUUCCAACUAAGUUUGUUAGUGGUAGUAAGUGGUGAUUUAUUUUAAGUGGAUGUAAUGUUGAAAUUUAGUUGUAUUCCAACUAAGUUGUCAAGUUGUAAGCUUGUAUAAAUAGGCUUUAUGCCAUUUUAAAAAAAUAUGAAUUAAUUCAAUCAAGAUUUCAUCCAUAUACUCUCUAUUUUAGCUUUGCUUAAAAUUUAUUUCAUUUUUCUUCUUUGUUUCUACCGCAAGUCUCGAUUCUUGCUCGGCAAGCUUUUUGUUGAACCUUGCUAUUUGUUGUACUUAGCUCCAACAAUUGGUAUCAGAGCCUACUUCUUAAGGGAUCUGUUAUACAAAUUCAUGGCUUCAUCAAGCUUUUCACCAGCUGCACCUCAAGUCUUCAAUGGAGAAGGCUACCACAUAUGGGUGGUUAAAAUGAAGACCUACCUACAAGCUUUCGAUCUGUGGGAGGUAGUCAACUCAGAUGUUGAACCAGAGCCACUUAGAGGCAAUCCAACAGUAGCUCAAAUUAGGCAACAUGCUGAUGAGAGGACCAAGAGGCACAAAGCCAUGUCUUGCAUCCAGAACUCAGUGUCAGAUGUGAUUUUCACAAGGAUUAUGGCCUGUGAAUCACCAAAACAAGCCUGGGACAAGUUGCAAGAGGAGUUUCAAGGGACAGAGAGGACAAGGCAGCAACAGUUGCUGAACUUAAGGAGAGAUUUCGAGAAUUUGAAGAUGAAGGAAGAAGAAACUAUCAAGCAGUACUCUGACAGGAUUAUGGCUGUGGUUAACAGCAUUAGGCUCCUUGGAGAGCAGCUUAAGGAAGCUAGGAUAGUGGAGAAGGUUAUUGCAACUCUGCCCGAGAGGUAUGAGGCAAAAAUCUCAUCUCUCGAGGACUCAAGGGACCUGUACACCAUCUCCCUGACAGAGUUGAUCAAUGUUUUAUAUGCUCAAGAGCAAAGAAGAGCAAGCAGACUGGAGGAGCAUCAAGAAGGUGCCUUUCAGGCAAGAACAAACACUGCCUACAAAGGCAAGAAGGCCUGAAGAGACAAGCCAAUGACUGAUGUUGCAAGAAAAGAGGGUCAGACUUGCAAGCACUGCAGAAGGGCUGGUCAUCCAAAAGAAAAAUGCUGGUUCAAUCCAGAUGCUGUAUGUCAGCAUUGUAAAAAGAAGGGUCAUGUUGAGAGAGUCUGCAAGAGCAAGGCCAAAUCAAGGCAGAGUCUGUUUCAACAGAUGAAAGCUGAGGCUCGACUAGCUAAGGAGGACAGUGACCAAGAGGAGCAAGUCUUUGCUGUGUUAUGCUCAGCUGCUCAAGAAAGGUUCUCAUCUGGUUGGCUUCUAGACAGUGGAUGCACCAACCACAUGACACCUGAUGCUGCAAUCUUCAAGUCUUUAGACAGAAGCUGCAGAACUAAAGUCAAGAUAGGAAAUGGACAUUUUAUUCAAGCUGAAGGCAAGGGUGAUGUGCUGAUAUGCACCCCCACAGGUGCCAAAGUGAUUUCAAAUGUGCUUUUGGUGCCUGAAAUUGACAGAAACCUGCUCAGCAUAGCUCAGUUGCUGGAGAAAGGUUAUUCUGUUGUGUUCAAAGACAACCAAUGCCAAAUCAAUGAUCCAAGUGGAUCCAAGCUGAUGGCAGUUCCUAUGGCUAAUAAGAGCUUUGUAGUUGACUGGACCAGGGAGUCAAACAUUGCCUACACAGUCACAUCAGAUGAAUCCAAGCUUUGGCAUCAAAGACUGGGACAUGCCAACUUCAGAUCGAUGGCUCGAAUGGUCAGAGAGGACUUGGCUGAAAACUUCAUCAACUCAGUAGAUCAUGAUGAUGUGUGUGAAGUGUGUCAGCUAGGAAAGCAGGCCAGACUCCCAUUUCCCUCGAAUCAAGCCUGGAGAGCCUCUGAAAAACUCCAACUGGUGCACACUGAUGUGUGUGGCCCUAUGAGGACUGAGUCAUUAAGUGGAAACAGGUACUUCAUACUGUUCACUGAUGAUUUUUCAAGAUAUUGCUGGCUUUACUUCCUAAAACAGAAAUCAGAGGCGGCCUCAGUGUUUUGGAAGUUCAAGACUACUGCUGAGACUGAAACAGGUUGCAAGCUGAAGUCCAUAAGGUCUGAUAAUGGGACUGAGUACACCUCAGCUCAGUUCCAAGCCUUCUGUGAUAAGGCAGGCAUCAAACAUCAACUUACCAACACAUAUACACCUCAGCAAAAUGGUGUAAGUGAAAGGAAGAAUAAGAGUUUGAUGGAUAUGGCCAGGUGCUUGAUGAUUCAGAAGAAUCUGCCUAAAGCACUAUGGGCAGAGGCAGUUAACACUGCAAACUACAUUCAAAAUAGGCUUCCAACCAAGGCCUUGGAUCAGAAGACUCCAUUCGAAGCCUGGUUUGGAUUCAAGCCAUCACUGGCUCAUCUGAAGGUCUUUGGAUGCAUCUGUUAUGCUCAUGUACCUGCUGUCAAAAGGGACAAAUUGUCUGAAAGGGCUCGACCUGGUAUUUUGGUGGGCUACAGCACUGUUAAGAAGGGCUAUAGGAUCUUGGAUCCUUCAACAAAGAAAGUGUCAGUCAGUAGGGAUGUGGUAUUUGAUGAAAAGUCAUGUUGGAACUGGGAAAAACAUGAACCUGAGGAAGUUUCAGAAGGACUUGCAGCAGAUCAAGUUGAGCCAGAUCAAAAUGUUCCUGAAAUGGACAUUGAUGAUGAACCAGUUAGAGGAACAAGACCAUUGACUGAGAUUUAUGAAAGAGCUCAUGUAGCCAUAGCUGAACCAAGCAAUUUUGAAGAGGCUGAAACUCAGCAAGAGUGGAAGCAGGCAAUGGCUGAGGAGAUUAGCAUGAUUGAGAAGAACCAGACCUGGGAAUUAGUUGAAAGGCCAGUCAAAAGGAAGAUAAUUGGGGUGAAAUGGGUGUACAAAGCCAAGCAAAAUGCUGAUGGUACCUUGAACAAACUGAAAGCAAGGCUAGUUGUCAAGGGGUUCAGUCAGAGGUAUGGCCUGGACUACCUGGAGACCUUUGCACCAGUGGCCAGGCUAGACACCAUCAGAUUACUGAUUGCCUUAGCAGCACAGCUCGAGUGGAAGAUCCAUCAACUCGAUGUAAAAUCAGCCUUUCUGAAUGGUUUCUUAGAUGAAGAGAUCUAUGUUGAACAACCACAAGGGUUUGAGAUAGCUGGCAGAGAGCAUAUGUCUACAAACUGAAGAAGGCCCUAUAUGGCUUAAAACAGGCUCCAAUGGCCUGGUACAGCAGAAUCGAUGGCUACUUGACUAAUUUGGGAUUCGAUCGAAGCAAGAGUGAGCCAACACUGUAUGUCAAGAAGCAAGGGACACAAACACAGCUCAUUGUAUCCCUAUAUGUUGAUGACCUGCUGGUGACAGGAGGAGAUCGAGCAGUGCUGGUCGAUUUCAAGACCAAGAUGCAAGAAGUAUUUGAAAUGUCUGAUCUAGGGGAAAUGUCUUAUUUCCUUGGAAUAGAGGUGACUCAAGCACAAAAUGGGAUAUUUCUAAGUCAGAGAAACUUUGCCACAAAGAUUCUGACCAAGUUCUCCAUGCAAAACAGUAAAGCAACUAAAACACCUGUUGCUGUUGGAGAAAAACUAUCGAGCCAAGGUGAUUUUGAGAAGGUUUGUGAAACAACCUACAGAAGUCUAGUUGGUUGUCUGUUAUAUUUAACUGCCACUAGACCAGACAUAAUGUAUGCUGUAGGAUUGCUCUCAAGGUUCUUGCAUUGUUGCAAUAAAAAGCAUUUACAAGCUGCUAAGAGAGUGCUUAGAUAUGUCAAAGGCACUUUGAGCUAUGGUUUAAGGUACAGCAAGGAAGGAAAUCUGAAGCUGGUUGGCUACACUGAUAGUGACUGGGCUGGCUCGAUAGAUGACAUGAAAAGCACCUCAGGGUAUGCUUUCAACCUUGGUUCAGCCAUGUUUUGCUGGAGCUCGAAGAAGCAAAGUCUGGUGGCUCAAUCUACUGCUGAAGCAGAAUAUGUGGCAGCUGCAAGUGCUGUCAACCAAGCCAUUUGGCUAAGGAAAAUCUUAGCUGAUUUGAAAGUGCAUCAAAAGGAAGCUACUGAGAUCUUCUGUGACAACCAAUCUUCAGUUGCAAUUGCUAAAAAUCCAGUGUUCCAUGGAAGAACAAAGCAUUUCAGCAUCAAGUUGCAUGUUGUUCGAGAAAUGGAGCAAGCUCAGGAAGUGAAGCUGAUCCAUUGUAAUUUUGAGGAUCAACUUGCAGACAUUUUGACUAAAGCCCUUAAUUUCACAAGGUUCAAAUGUCUAAGAAGGAAGCUAGGUGUUUGCUCCAUGCAAACCAAGGAGGAGUAUUGAAGCAAUGGUUAGCAUGUAGCAAUCACAUGUUUUAUUAUUAUUAUUAUUAUUAUUAUUAUUAUUAUUAUUUGGAUGUAAUGAUGUAACUUAGUUGUAUUCCAACUAAGUUUGUUAGUGGUAGUAAGUGGUGAUUUAUUUUAAGUGGAUGUAAUGAUGAAACUUAGUUGUAUUCCAACUUAAAUUGUCAAGUUGUAAGCUUGUAUAAAUAGGCUUUAUGCCAUUUUAAAAAAAUAUGAAUGAAUUCAAUCAAGAUUUCAUCCAUAUACUCUCUAUUUUAGCUUUGCUUAAAAUUUAUUUCAUUUUUCUUCUUUGUUUCUGUCGCAAGUCUCGAUUCUUGCUCGGCAAGCUUUUUGUUGAACCUUGCUAUUUGUUGCACUUAGCUCCAACAGGAUCAUGUUUUUUUUUUUUACCAACCUUUGGUCAUGCAAAUAUAGAUAUUAAAGAUUGGAGCAAGUUGUUGAAUCUAUAGGUUUAAUGGUGAUUGAUUUUCAAGCCAAAAAGAACAGGAAAAGAGGAAAAUUUUCAUUACAAGCUGAAGUUGGAACAAAUAACUAACCUUAUAUUGAGUCUGGGUUUUCCUUUUUUGCGUAUGAAAGCUGCAUGUCCCUUCAAAACUUCAACUUUGUUACACCUCAGGAUAUUUUCCUCUUUCCUUACAAUAUUCAAAGAUUUUCAUAUUUUCUUCAACGUCGUAUGUUUUCUGCUAUGCAAUCACCAUGAAAACAGAGAAAUAAGGAACCAAAGCUCUCGACUCCAAGUCCAAACCACACCAUCAGCAAGAAAGAAGGUAUGAACCCCAUACCAACAGGUAGUGAUGUUGGAAUCAGUACCGUAUUAAUCGGUUGAACUAAAAAUUCGUAUUAAUCGGUUCAACUAAAAAUCGGUAAUUAAUUAUUUACUAAUUUGAACUUUGAAGAAAAAUGUAAUAACUCAAUAUCCUUUUAUAUAUAUAUAUAUAAAAGGACUAUGAACAAAUUUGUCAAUUGUCGUUUCAUUGUCUCCUGCGAUAAUUAUAUCAUCCCAAAUGUAACAUCAUUUGAAUUGAACAAACAUCGAUGCAUUUCAUCGAGAUAAUGAAAACAAUGGUAACAUCAUUUGAUAUAUAGCCCUUAAAGAUUGCUUUAACCUGUAAAGUGGCUCAUGAAAUUUACACACAAGGUUUUUACCUCUAAACGUGUUGCUUAUAAAUUGGGGGUUGUUGCAUAUAUACAUUUUCUAUAAUAUCCCCUAUUGACAUCUAUUUUCUAUGGAUGGAUGAAAAUUUAAUUAAAAUUUUCAAAGCAGUCUAUUUUUAUGUCUCAAAACAUACUAACUUUGAAGCUAAAAAUCUCAAAAUAAUUUAUGACUUGUCUCAAGACAUAAAUAUCCUUGUCUCAAGGUAUGAAUUUGAAAUUUGUUGAUAUUUGAGUUUAGAUUCGAAUUCUAACUCUAAUAUUAACCCAUGCAAUUCCGUAAAUUGAUAAAAUGAAAUCAUUGAGUUUAUAAAUAAUAUAUAUGUGAAUUAUAUGAUAAUUAAAUUGAAUGUAUUUAUGCUAUAGUAGCUUGAGUUGUGAUAAGUCAUAAAAGUAACAUAUUUUAAUCCUAUUUUUAAUGCGUUUCUGGAUUAUUAAUGAUGUAAAUUAGUGAAUUUGAUGCUCCUAAUCCUUUAAAUUCAUGUUUCUAUCACUACAUCAAAACAGGCUUUUAGCGACGUUUUUUUAAGCCUUUAGCAGCGCUUUUUAGCGCCGCUAAAAGUAUUUGCGACGCUUUCAGGAGAGCAUUUAGGAGCAAAAGGAGCGAAAAACGAGUCAAAAUGGGACGAAUAAAGUUGUUUUCAGGAUCCACAUGACCUAGGCAUAUCCAUACGGGCUGGCCACACGCCCAUGUGCUAGCCCGUGUUGAUAUCGCACACUGUUUCCCAAACACGCAGAAAAACUCAAUUUUUAGACUUUCUUAGUAUUCUAAAGUCUAUAAAUGUCAAUUAGAAGAAGACUUAAGGGGGCAUUCAGAGAAGAUUGAAGAAAAGACUCGAAAAACGCCAUCGGAUUCAACUCGAAAGCGGAUCUCCUUCAAGAUUGAAGAUCUCCAUUUAAUUUCAUUCGAAGUUUUAUUGAGUUUCUUUAUGUCUUGUUGUUAUCCUAUUUUUGAGAUGUUUUCAUUCCAGAUUAUGAACUAAAUUUCCUAGAUACCUAGGGAAGAUAAAACCUAUGAUGAAUCUUAUUAUUUGAUUUUUGAUUUACAUGGUAAAUAUUUGAUUCUUGUUCUGAAUUAUGUACGCUUAUUUCGUGUUUUAAUAUUUUUAUGAUAUUAAUUCAUGUUUAAUUUAUUUAUUUCAAUGGAGCAAAAAUCCCUGUUUAAGAGUAGAUCUAGCAUAAUUGAGUGGAAUUGCAUGCAAUCCUAGAAAUAGGACGACAUAAAUCUACCGAAUUAGAGUCAAAUCUAAUAGGGGAAUCCAUAGAUCGAGUUAAUGCGACAAUAGGGGCUUUAAUUAGAAAGAGAUUUUAAUUAAUCAACCUAGAGCCAGUUGUUCUUACUCUCGAAAGAGAUAUUAACAUAAUUUAGGGAUUUCUACGGAUUAAGACACAAGUGAAUAAAUUGUUUACAUCGAAUUCAUAAUAAUAGGUGAAGUCUAGGUGGAUCCUUUCUUGGGUAUUAUUUGUCUCAUUAAGUAUCAUCGAUUAUUUUCCUAUUUCAUUCUCUGUUACGUUCAUAGUUAAAUUAGAUUAGUAAAUUUAGAUUAAAAACAAUCACUCCAAUUCAUCGGCUAAAUAAUAGAAAAAGUAAUUACUAGUACUUUUAGUUCUCAUGGAUACGAUAUUCCCUACUCACCAUAGCUAUACUAUUGUUCGAUAGGUGCGCUUGUCUUUGUCAUAAUUAUAGUUAGUUUAGUGACCUUCAAGUAGUUUCGACAACAUAACAUGACAUCACAUGUUCGGAACCGACAAUCAGAUCUAGAGUGUUACAAAUUCCACAUUUACUCACAUUAUAUGUUUUUUGAUAUCUCAAAAAAUGAAUUCUACCGUCACUAAAUGUAUGAAAUUAAUCAUACAACAUCUGAUCAUUUUGACCAUCCGAUCCUUUAUGAAACAAGAGCCAUAAAAAAAUUAUUAAUGAAACAAGAGCCUUAGUCGUAUUUUUAGUUAGUCACGUGAGACACAUCAGCUAUCUUUUGAUGAGUAAAACCAGGAAGGAAAAAAGAAAGGUCUAAGUUGAAGCUAGACAAGACAAGUCUCAAAAGGGGGUUUACAAAAAGAGUAAGGUUAUGACCAAAUUCGCCCUGAUAUGUUCGCCUGUGAUAUGUUUGCUAGUGAUGUGUUCAAGAAGAACAUAUAGGCGUCAACCAUGCCAGUAAAUUUCAUGAGCUUACAUGAAACUCAAGGAGUUAUUUACGUGCAUUACUCCCUAUUACUCGUAAUAUUAAUAAUAUAUUAAUAUGUUAUCAUUUAAUAGUUGAUGUAUGGAAUCUCACUAAGUUCAUUCAAACUUAUGAGUGGCUUGCCUUAAGUGCAGGAUCCAAGGCUGUUAUGAAAAGUGUGGGAAUGGACCAAGGCAGAUUUUGCGGAAUCCUUAUGGGCUUUUUUUGUUCUGGUAUCAUGCAUAUAGAGGGGCUCCAUUAUAGGCUACACCUUGAGGUUGAAUUUGUAAUUAAGUAGAAUCCAAUUUUUCAGAAUAAGUGUAUAAGUAAAUUCAGUGGAUGAGUAUGAUUGUAAAGAACAUUAAUCUCCUUAGUUAGGUAAUCAUAUAAUAACAAGUUUAAUGUGAUGUUCAUUUAUGGAAAGGUUAUGGAUAAUUAAUUGAUUGGAUUAAAGUUGUACGACAACAUAAUAUUAAAUCUGGCAUGAAAUUAAAUAAAUUAAGAAUUUGUUGUUAGAUAAUACGGUUCAAUUAUGACGUUCAACACCCGGACCUGACGAUUGGGUUCGCGAAGUGGCAAGGUGCAAGUUAUAGCUAAAACUUUGGUGCAUGCACAUUUUGUCUAGUUUGCAUGCUAGUCUUUUGUUUAGUUCUUUGUAAUUUCAUUUAGUUAAGAAUGGAUUUGGUUUGCUUUCGUUUUGAUGUGUUUAAGUGCUGAUUGACAUAAUCAAGUUAUGUGCAAGCAAAGUUUUACAAGUUACAAGGUUAUUAGUGGGAGUAGUUAAAGGUUCGAUUGUAUUUGGUAUUGGUUUGACAAUAUAUGUUGUAUUUUUAAAGAAAUGAAAUACAUAUUGUUAUAAUAGGCGCCAACAAUAUAACCAAUGUAAAAUAAUAAGAAAAGAAAAAAUAUAAAUAUAAAUUUUACGUAAAAAUCUUUUGGGGGAAAAAAUCAUGGAUAAAAGAGGAGAAAUUUAUUAAUGUUAAAAAUUAAAUGAUACAAAAUGAGUUUCAACUAUAUUUAUUUAAAUGCUAAAAAACCUUAUUUUAAUCUAUGUAAAAUAAAAAAUUACAAUUUUAUACGGAUUCUUCUUAUACAGCACAUAUAAUUUGAGCAACGUUUGUUUUUGCUCCUUAAAACUAUAGCCCUUGGAUGAUGAAGUUCUGGCUAGGGCUGAUGGGAUCAAUUUGUAUAAAUCAUAUAGUAAUUCAAAAUUAUCAGAAAUGUAAGAAAACGUCAACUCUGAAAUUCAAUUUGUGUAAAUCUUUUCGUCAGUCCAAAACAGUUCGAUGAUGAUGAUAUUCACAUGGCGAAAUAGAAGACAGUGUGAGCACGGAAAGAAAGGCGGUCCCGCUUUAUGUGGUGCUGGCAAUCGAUAGCUUCAUUAGUCAACAGUCAACUCUGAAAUUAGUUAGCCUUGAAAGUGACCCACCUUUACUAUAUACUCGCACACUUUCUAUUUUCAUCCAUAGGGAAGUGCUAUACGAAAUCUUGUUCCAUUAUGAAAGAAACCCAAUGCAUUGGUGAUGGCAGAUGAGAAUUUCAUCUUUUUUUGCUCUUUCUCUCACAACCUACUGUUCAAGUUCAAAAAAAGUGAUGGUCAAGUUUUAUUUCAAAAAUCGAACCCUUUAAUUUGAUUUAAAUUUCCACCAUCUGAAAUGAUCCAGUCCAAUCUCUCUUUGUCUCUUCAAAUCCAACUUUGUUACGGUCAAGGAAGUUUCCUCUUUUGUUUACACAAUUGAAUAGAGUUCCAGUUUUCUCCGAGAACAAAAUAAAUGUUUCCCACUAACAGUAAAAAGAGAUUGAUUUUUCAAUGGCUUCUAAUAAACCCAUUUUUUUCUCCUUCUUCUUCCUCUUGCUGUUUCUCUCAUUGAACCUGCAAAGCUCAGUCUCACAAACAUGGAUCAAAGCUGGUUACUGGGACUCUAGCGCUUCCCUUCCAGUUUCUGAUAUAAACUCUGCUCUUUUCACUCAUCUUUUUUGCGCUUUUGCUUAUGUAAACUCAACCUCCUAUCAGCUCUUUGUCAACUCCUCAAAUGAACAACAUUUCUCUAACUUCACCAGUACUGUAAAACUAAAGAAUCCAUCCGUUACUACUAUUUUGUCCAUUUGGGUUGGAAGAACUGAGUCAGAGUCUACCAACUUUUCUUUGAUGGUUAAUGAAACUUCUCGUCGAAAAGCUUUCAUUGAGUCUUCAAUCAAAACAGCCAGGCUUUAUGGUUUUCAUGGUUUAGACCUUUAUGGAGUUGAGCCUAGGAAUGGCAUCAAUAUGAGCAGUUUUGGUACUUUCUUGGCCGAGUGGCGAGCUGAGGUAGCAUCCGAGUCAAGAAACUCCGGUAAGACACAGUUGCUAUUAACUAUGUCGGCUAAUCGCUUGCCGAUUGUCAACUCAGUGAGUUAUCCUAUUGAGUCUACAAAGCUAAACCUGGAUUGGGUGCAUAUUAGAGCAUAUGACUACUAUGUGCCAACAUUAGAUAGGUUUACUGGUUUUCAUGCUGCUUUAUAUGACCCAUUAGGAAGGGCCAACACUGAUGAUGGUAUAAAGGAAUGGUUAAAGAGAGAAUUCCCUGCUGAUAAGCUAGUUUUAGGUUUGCCUUACCAUGGCUAUGGAUGGAUGCUUGUUAACUCUGGUGACAGUGGCAUUGAUUCAGCAGCUUCAGGGCCGGCUGUCACCAUUGAUGGUUCAAUGGGGUAUAAGUCAAUCAAAUCAUUCAUUCUAAAUUAUGGUUAUGGCGUUGAAGCUGUGUAUAAUUCUACUUAUGUGGUGAAUAUUUUCAAAAUCGGGUCGAAUUGGAUCAAUUUCGAUGAUGUGGAAGCCAUUAAAGCUAAGGUUUCUUAUGCCAAGGUAAAGGGUCUACUUGGUUACAGUGCCUUUCAACUUUCCAAUGACGAUAAUUGGGUGCUUUCACAAGCUGGUAAUAUGGUUCUCUCCCUUUAGAACAUAUCAAAAUUUUCAGAAAAUACUGAAUUUUUAAACAUUGACUUGGAAAAAGACUUCAACUAGCAUUAUUUCUUGCCUCUAUUUGGUAUAUUUGACUUGGAAAAAUACAUUACCUGUCAUUUCUUUUUGUCUCUUUUACGGCAUUUCAGUUGGACAAUAUGCCACAUAGGUGUCUUGUCAUUAUUAUGCCAUGUUUGCAUGCUAAAAUAUUAAAGAACAGAGCUUAAGUUUGCUAAAAUUCUGAAAUCUUUACAAAACAUUGAACUGUAAUUAAUGUAAUGAAUAAUGUAUCGAUGUUCCGCAGCUUGUGGAAUAGGCACCAGUCAGCCAAAGAAACAUCGAUUAUUGGUUAUUGUUUCGGUUACAGUUGCUGCAAUGGUUUUCCUGAAGAUAGCUAUCAUCUGUUACCUGCAAAAGAAAAUAUUCAAAUCACAAGGUAAGAAUGGACAUGUGAGAAUCUGCAAUGAUUCCAAACAGUUAUCGAACAUUGACUCGUGAAGGUUUCAACUGCAGGGCUUUGGUGUGCAUUGAAAAUGUUGGUUUCUUGGAUAAGAACCAAAAUAUCAGCUGAAAAAAGGCAUGAAAACGAUGAUCCUAAUCUCCAAGUUUUCAGUUUCUAUAGCAUUAAAGCUGCCACUAAUAACUUUUCAAAGUAAGCUCGGAGAAGGUGGAUAUGGACCUGUUUACAAGGUAAUGUACUAUUCCUCUAUUAGCCACUUUCGGGGACUUUGCGGUAAUGUAUAAUGUGUUUGAAGAACCACACGUUUGCCGCUUACCUGCAGGAGGUUCUGAAAUUCCAAGUACAUUCAAAGGAUUAAUCGUUUAUCAUACCUUUGUUUGGUUUUUAAAACUAACUGCAAUGUGGAUUGUGGACUAUAACAGGGAAAGUUACCAAACGGGCAGGAAAUAGCGGUGAAGAGGCUCUCGAAAAGCUCGAAUCAAGGGUUUGAGGAGUUCAAGAAUGAGGUCACUCUUACAGCUAGGCUUCAACAUGUGAAUCUAGUUCGAGUUCUGGGAAUUUGUACUGAGAAGGAAGAAAAAUUGCUGGUUUACGAGUUCAUGCCAAACAGAAGCUUGGAUUUCUACCUCUAUGGUAAACAAUGCUUAAUUUUUUCAACUUAGUAUGAGUGUUAAGACAUUUUUAUGGCAUGUUAUUUCAUAAACUUCUUCAGCAAAACACAUUGUUCAUGCACUUAACCGAUGCAGAUCCAUUUAAAAGGCAUCUGUUAGAUUGGAGAAGACGAGUCUCGAUAAUCGAAGGCAUUACACAAGGGCUUCUAUAUCUCCAAGAAUACUCAAAUUACACUAUAAUUCAUCGUGACAUAAAGGCGAGCAAUAUCUUAUUAGAUUAUGAAAUGAACCCAAAGAUAUCAGAUUUCGGGAUGGCUAAAUUUUUCAAGAAGGAUGAACUUGAAGCAAACACCGGCAGAAUUGUUGGGACAUAGUAAGUGAAUCAGACGGUCUCAAAUGAUACAUAUCCGAUUGUUUUCCAUCUUUUCCAUUGAAUCUAUACAUAGUUAUUAAUUCAUUGAUUCAAUGCAGUGGCUAUGUUCCUCCGGAAUACGUUAGGAAAGGAAUAUACUUGUUGGAGCUGAGAGCAACUAACAGCAAAUUUCAGCAAGAAACUUGAGCAGCAAGUGUCGUGACUUGCAGCAAAAACAAGCAGAAAACAAAACAGAACUUUUAAAGUAAAAGCAAGAAAAAAUGAAGAAAGUUUUUGAAUGAAAACUUGAUUACAUUUUGUUCAUUCAUUCAUUAUACAAAUGGCUUAAAGCCAAUACAUAAAUCAAGCUUCUAGCUUGUCAAAAUAGUAGGUUAACCAAAACAAUACCUACCACCACUAGGUUUCCUAGUAAAUUGGAAUAAUAACUUGUACAAAUGAAUAAAGCUGGUGAACAGCUCAAUCACUAUCAAGAUUACAUCAAAUAUCAUCUUAUCAUAGUUCAAAGUGAACUAAAUUACAUUACAUAAACAAAAAAAAUUCAAAAUGAAGCUAAACAUCCUUGCUUUCUCGUGCAAACUGUUGCUUCUGCAUGGUGGUCUUCAAUGCUGCAUGCUAACCACCUUUCAACACUCCUCCUUGGUUAGCAUGUUGCUGACUCCCAUCUUCAUUCUUAAGCUUUGAAACCUUGAAACAUUAAGAGGUUUUGUUAAAAUAUCUGCUAAUUGUUCAUCAGAACUGCAAUGAACCAGUUUUACUUCAUGAGCUUGUUGCAUUUCUCGAACUGCAUGAAGUUUAAUGCUAAAAUGUUUUGUCCUCCCAUGAAAAACAGGAUUCUUUGCAAUUGCAACAGCCGAUUGGUUGUCACACAUUAUCUCUGUUGCUUCCUCUUGUUCAAGGUUGAGGUCGAUUAGGAUUUUUCUAAGCCACAUGGCUUGAUUAUCAGCUGCAGCAGCUGCUACAUAUUCUGCUUCUGCAGUAGAUUGAGCAACCAGUGCUUGUUUCUUUGAACUCCAACAAAAUACUGCUGAGCCAAGAUUAAAAAGAUAGCCUGAAGUGCUUCUCAUAUCGUCUAUCGAGCCAGCCCAAUCACUGUCACUGUAACCAACCAAUUUCAGGUGUUUUGUUUUGGUAUACAGCAUUCCAUAGCUCAGGGUUCCUUUGAUGUAUCUGAGAACUCUCUUAGCAACUUUAAAAUGACUUUCAUUGCAGCAAUGCAUGAACCUCGAGAGUAAGCUCACAGCAUACAUUAUAUCUGGUCUAGUGGCUGUUAAAUAUAAUAAACAACCAACUAGACUCAUAUAAGUUGUCUCACAUACUGGUUCAAAAACACUUUGACUCGAUAGCCUUUCUCCAACAACAAUUGGUGUGCUGGUGGCUUUGCAAUUUUCCAUUGAAAAUUUGCUGAGAAUUUUCAUGGCAAAGGUCUUUUGACUUAGCCAAAUUUCUUUCUUUGAUUGUGUUACUGUUGGAAUAUUUUCAAAUAUUUAUAGUAUCCCAAUAACUAUAAAUGAAUGGGUGUAAUUAAUCAAAAGAUAAAACUUUUGGUCAUUGGUCAAAAGUUAUAUCAUUUGAUUUUUUAAAAAAGAAUUAUAACUAUUCAAAGAAAUAUUAUUUGAAUAGUUACAAAAUUAAAUGAAUAAUUAUUAUUAUUUGUUUAUUCAUAAAGACACCUAUUGAAAGAUGUCUCUAUGAAGAGACAUGAAAAUUCCUAUAAAUAGGAAUGGGAUUUCAUUUGGAAAUCAUAUCAACAAAUUCUAAUAUUAUUUCUUCUCUUCCUUCAUUUUCUAAUAUUAUUAGAUUAUUCUAUAAAGUAUUGCUGCAGAAAUACUUUGUAGAAAUUGAGUUUUUGUUAUACAUUACUCAGUGCAUAGUGGACUAUUCUCGUCAGUGCAAAACGCAAAUAGUCAUUGGCUUCAUUGUAUCCUCGAGGUUAAUUUGCUUGGAACUCGUUUGCACACUGAAGAUAAGUGGGGGCGAAUAUAACCUUAAAGAUAGUGGCUUGAUACACGCCUUGGAGCCUGUCCUAUUUCUUCUUUUUCUUUUCGAGUUCCGAUCGUGUGUUCGAGUUUUUUCCUUACCGGAGUUUUGUACUAACAAUUUUAAGGUUAUAUUUCAUGAUGACUACCACAACACAUGAAAGUGGAACACUAAGGGAGUUGGCUUCCAACUUUGUUAAACUUGAUCGUUUUGAUGGUGGCAAUUUUCGACGAUGGCAGAAAAAGAUGCACUUUUUGUUAUCAACUUUGAAGAUUGCUUAUGUUUUGGAUACUCAAGACCUGAAGAGAAUGAAAAUGAAUCUGUUGCUGCAACCCGAGAAAGACAAAAAUGGGACAAUGCUGAUUACAUGUGCAUGGGCCACAUAUUGAAUGGUUUAUCUGAUGGUUUGUUCGACACCUACCAAAACGACGUCACCGCUAAAGAAUUAUGGGACAAAUUGGAGGCAAGAUACAUGACCGAAGAUGUUACAAGUAAGAAAUUUCUUGUCAGUCAUUUCAAUAAUUAUCAAAUGGUUGAUGGUCGUUCUGUUAUGGAACAAUUUCGUGAUAUUGAAAAGAUGCUGAAUCAAUUUAAGCAAUAUGAUAUGAAAAUGGAUGAAAUGAUUGUGGUAUCCUCCAUAAUAGACAAACUUCCUCCAUCUUGGAAAGACUUUAAAAGAAGUCUAAAACAUAAGAAAGAGGAAAUAUCUCUUGAGGCUUUGGCAAAUCAUCUUCGUAUUGAAGAAGAGUAUCGAAAACAAGAUCAGAACCUAAAUUCUGAAAAUGCCAAAGUACAUGUUACGGAGGAAGUACAGACUACUAAACCAUUCAAGAGAAAGUUCAAUCAGACUGAUAGAGCACCUAAGUUCAAAAAGAAACAAAAGGGCUCAUGCUAUCAUUGUGGAAAGCCGGGACAUUUCAAGAAUGAAUGUCGAUUUUUAAAGAAGAAAUCAUCUUCUAAGGCUGAUAAUAACGAAAAGUUCGUUGCAAUGAUAUCUGAAAUUAAUAUGGCACAAGAUGAUAAUACAUGGUGGAUUGAUACCGGAGCAACCAAACAUGUGUGCAAAGACAAAAGCAUGUUCACAAAGUUCACACAAUGUGAAAAUGACAAUGUCUUGUACAUGGGAAAUUCUUCCACCGCAACAAUUAAAGGCAAAGGGUCUGUUGAACUACAAUUCACUUCUGGAAAGGUUUUAACCUUAAAUGAUGUAUAUUAUGUACCAAAAGUUAGGAAAAAUUUAGUGUCUGGAAGUCUGUUGAAUAAGUUUGGUUUCAAACUUGUUUUUGAGGCAGAUAAGUUUAUUUUGUCUAAGGGAGGAAUUUUUGUGGGAAAAGGGUAUAUGUAUGAAAGCAUGUUCAAACUUAAUAUUAUUAAUAAGAAUAAAAAUACUAUUUCUGCUUAUAUGGUUGAAUCAUUUUGUUUGUGGCAUUAUAGAUUAGGUCAUUUGAAUUAUAGAAAAUUGAAUGACAUGUAUAAAUUAGAUUUAAUUCUUGUUUUUAAUAAUAAUAUUGAAAAAUGCAAUACCUGUAUGUUGACUAAAAUUACAAGAAAUCCUUUCCCUAAGGUUAAAAGGAAAACAAAAUUGCUUGAUUUGAUACAUAGUGAUUUAUGUGACUUGCAUAAUACUCCUACAUUAGGUGGAAAGAAAUAUUUUGUUACUUUUAUUGAUGAUUGUUCUAGAUAUUGUUAUGUAUAUUUAUUGCAUUCAAAAGAUGAAGCGCUUGAUAAAUUUAAAGUUUAUAAAUCUGAAGUUGAACUUCAGUGUGAAUCAUUUAUCAAGUGCUUAAGAUCGGAUAGAGGUGGAGAAUACUAUAAUCCAAGUUAUUUUGAACUCACUGGAAUUGUCCAUCAAGUUUCAGCCCCUUACACACCACAACAAAAUGGUGUAGCUGAAAGGAAAAAUAGAGUCUUGAUUGAAAUGGUAAAUUCAAUGUUAUCAUAUUCAGGUCUUGGACAGGGUUUUUGGGGAGAAGCUGUUCUAACAGCUUGUCAUAUAUUGAAUAGAGUUCCUAAUAAGGAAACUAAAAUAACCCCCUAUGAACAAUGGAAGAAAAGGAAACCAAACCUUAAUUAUUUAAAGGUUUGGGGUUGUAGAGCUAUUGUAAAAGUUCCAACACCUAAACGUAAAAAGUUAGGUGAAAGAGGAAUUGAAUGCAUAUUUAUAGGUUAUGCACAUAAUAGCAAGGCAUAUAGGUUCAUAGUAAUUGAACCAAAUGAUUCAAUUUCAAUUAAUACGGUUAUUGAAUCAAGAGAUGCUAUUUUUGAUGAAAAUAGAUUUAAUUCUAUAUCAAGACAAUUACAACCACAACAAUUGAUUCAUUCUUCAAAUGAAAAUGAGAUUCCAUUGAAACAAAUUGAUAAUAAUGAUGAAUCUUGUCAAGAAUUAAGAAGAAGUAAGAGGAUUAAAAAGGUUAAAGAUUUUGGACCAGAUUUCAUUAUGUUUCUUGUAGAAGGAAAAUGUGAAAGUAUAUGCAAUAAGAUACCUUAUUGUUAUAAUACCGAAUCUGAUCCUAUUACAUUUGAAGAAGCAGUGAAAUUGCAAUAAGAUACCUUAUUGUUAUAAUACCGAAUCUGAUCCUAUUACAUUUGAAGAAGCAGUGAAAUCUCAAGACUCUGCUUUUUGGAAAGAAGCAAUAAAUGAUGAAAUGGAUUCAAUAAUGGGAAAUCAAACUUGGAUCUUAGUUGAUCUUCCACCAGGUUCCAAACCAAUAGGUUGUAAAUGGAUCUUCAAAAAGAAAAUGAAGGUCGAUGGAACCAUUGAUAAAUUUAAAGCAAGGUUGGUAGCAAAAGGUUUUACACAAAGACAAGGUAUUGAUUACUUUGAUACCUAUGCUCCAGUAGCAAGAAUUGCUACAAUUAGACUAUUAAUAUCACUUACCUCUAUAUAUAAUUUGGUUGUUCACCAAAUGGAUGUUAAAACUGCAUUUUUAAAUGGUGAAUUGGAAGAGGAAGUGUACAUGGAGCAACCGGAAGGAUUUGUUGUUCCAGGACAAGAGCAUAAGGUAUGUAAGCUUGUUAAAUCUUUAUAUGGGCUUAAACAAGCACCAAAACAAUGGCACCAAAAGUUUGACAAGGUUGUUUUAGCUAAUGGCUAUAAAAUAAAUGAAUCCGAUAAGUGCAUAUAUAGUAAAUUUGAUAAUGGAAAGGGUGUUAUAAUUUGCUUAUAUGUAGAUGACAUGCUCAUUUUUGGCACGGAUUUGGAACAAAUAGAAAACACAAAGAAAUUCUUGUCAAACAACUUUGCUAUGAAGGAUAUGGGUGUAGCAGAUGUUAUUCUUGGGAUUAAAAUAACCCGAGAUGAAAGCACUAUAGCUUUAUCACAAUCACAUUACAUUGAAAAUGUGCUUAAAAAGUUUGAUCUUUUCAACUGUAUACCAGCAUCUACACCCAUGGAUCCUCAGUUAAAAUUAGUAUCUAAUGCUGGUAGGAAAAUUGAUCAAUUGAAAUAUGCAAGUCUAAUUAGUUGUCUUAUGUACAUAAUGACUUGUACAAGACCAGAUAUUGCAUAUGCUAUUGGAAAAUUGAGUAGAUACACAAAUAAUCCAAGUAGUUUGCAUUGGCAAGCUUUAAAUAGAGUACUUAGGUACUUAAAGAAAACUAUUAACUAUGGAUUGUGUUAUAAUGGAUAUCCUCCAGUUUUAGAAGGGUAUUCGGAUGCUAGUUGGAUUACAAGUUUGGAAGAUCAUGCAUCUACUAGUGGGUGGAUCUUCAUUCUUGGUGGAUGAGUCAUUUCUUGGGGUUCCAAGAAACAAACAUGUAUUACUGAUUCCACCAUGGCAGCAGAAUUUAUUGCAUUAGCCGCUGCAUCUAAAGAAGCAGAAUGGUUAAGAAAUUUGCUUUAUGAUGCACCUUUAUGGCUUAAGCCAAUUUCACCUAUUUCUAUCCGUUGUGAUAGUGAGGCUACUCUAGCAAAGGCAUAUAGCCAAGUAUAUAAUGGAAAGUCUAGACACAUUGGAUUAAGACAUAGUUAUGUCCGACAAUUAAUCUCUGAUGGAGUGAUCACUAUUAAUUAUGUGAGGUCAAGUGAAAAUUUGGCAGAUCAUUUGACAAAAUGUCUUGCUAGAGAUGCAGUAAAAAGGACCUCAAAAGGGAUGGGACUCAAGCCUAUUAAUUAGAGUCACCCAUGAUGGAAACUCGACUCAACGCUUGGUAUAACGUCAAGUCUUGAGUUCAAUGAGACAAAGUACAUCAUUAGUAUGUGACUGUUAGCACUAUAAAUAAAUCCAUCCUAAGAUUAAAGUGCUAGGUACCCGUAAUGAUAAGGGAAGGAUGAGUAAUGUACUCUUAAUGGACCCAUAACAUAAAUAUGUUAGAGUGUUAUAAUUACGGGAACACUUUUGAUGGGAUCUACCUAUGUGAGUGGAAGUGUGGCCGCUUCUAGGAGCUUAAGGGCUUGGUUCUGACAGCACUCAUGAAAAGAGGACAUAGACACAUGGCUAUAAUAGUGUCCCUAGAUACUCUGCAUUGACUGAUGUUGAAAUCAUUGUGUGAGAUGUGUUCAGUUAAUCAAAUGGAAUAGUUGGUUCAAAGCUUAGUCUACCAUACAAUUUCGAUUAACUUUAACAUGUUUUCACUAAGUGAAGGUUCAAUCGUAAGACACAUUUAUUUAUGCAAAUUGAUUUCCAAGAAUAUCAAAAUCUAAAUAUUUUGAAAAUGGGGGGAGAUUGUUGGAAUAUUUUCAAAUAUUUAUAGUAUCCCAAUAACUAUAAAUGAAUGGGUGUAAUUAAUCAAAAGAUAAAACUUUUGGUCAUUGGUCAAAAGUUAUAUCAUUUGAUUUUUUAAAAAAGAAUUAUAACUAUUCAAAAAAAUAUUAUUUGAAUAGUUACAAAAUUAAAUGAAUAAUUAUUAUUAUUUAUUUAUUCAUAAAGACACCUAUUGAAAGAUGUCUCUAUAAAGAGACAUGAAAAUUCCUAUAAAUAGGAAUGGGAUUUCAUUUGGAAAUCAUAUCAACAAAUUCUAAUAUUAUUUCUUCUCUUCCUUCAUUUUCUAAUAUUAUUAAAUUAUUCUAUAAAGUAUUGCUGCAGAAAUCCUUUGUAGAAAUUGAGUUUUUGUUAUACAUUACUCAGUGCAUAGUGGACUAUUCUCGUCAGUGCAAAACGCAAAUAGUCAUUGGCUUCAUUGUAUCCUCGAGGUUAAUUUGCUUGGAACUCGUUUGCACACUGAAGAUAAGUGGGGGCGAAUAUAACCUUAAAGAUAGUGGCUUGAUACACGCCUUGGAGCCUGUCCUAUUUCUUCUUUUUCUUUUCGAGUUCCGAUCGUGUGUUCGAGUUUUUUCCUUACCGGAGUUUUGUACUAACAGUUACUUCCAUGCCUAAAAAAUAGGCCAUCAACCCCAAGUCUGACAUUUCAAAAUGCUGUUGCAUUUUGGUUUUGAAAUUGAUCAGCAUCUCUUGAUUUCCUCCUGUCACCAAUAGAUCAUCGACAUAUAAUGACACAAUGAGCUGAGUUUCUGCCUUGGUCCUUUUGACAUACAAAGUUGGCUCGCUAAUACUCUUAUCGAAUCCCAGACUGAUCAAAUAACUGUCAAUCCUGCUGUACCAGGCUCUUGGAGCUUGUUUCAAGCCAUACAAGGCUUUGUUCAGCUUGUAUACCAUUUCUUCUUUGCCAGUCACUUCAAAGCCUUGAGGUUGUUCCACAUAAAUCUCUUCUUCUAGGAAUCCAUUGAGAAAUGCUGACUUUACAUCAAGCUGAUGUAUCUUUCACUGCCUUUGUGCUGCUAGUGCAACUACCAAUCUGAUGGUGUCAAGCCUGGCCACUGGUGCAAAAGUCUCCAGGUAGUCUGAUCCAAACCUCUGACUAUAGCCUUUGACAACCAACCUUGCCUUUAAUUUGUUUAAACUACCAUCAGCAUUCUGUUUAACUCGAUAAACCCAUUUAACUCCAAUAAUUUUCCUGUUUGCUGGUCUUUCAAUUAAAUUCCAGGUCUGAUUCUUUUCAAUCAUGCUGAUCUCUUCAAUCAUUGUCUGCUUCCAACCCUCCUGACUUUCUGCUUCUUCAAAACAACUUGGUUCAGCAAUGGCCACUUGUGCUCUUUCAUAAACAUCAAUCAAUGAUCGAGUCCCUCUGAUUGGUUCAUCAUCCACAUCCAUUUCAAAUGUGUCUUGAUCAGUUCCAACUUGAUCAGAUGCAAGUUCUUCAGUUACAGCUCCUGGUUCAUUUUUAUCCCAGUUCCAGCAUGCCUUCUCAUUGAACACAACAUCUCUACUCACAAGGAUCUUGUUUGUAGAGGGUUCCAGCAUUCUAUAGCCUUUUUAACUGUACUAUAGCCUAUCAGAAUCCCUGCUUGAGCUCUUUUAUCCAGCUUUCCUCUUUUCACAGCUGGAACUUGCGCAUAACAUAUGCAACCAAAGGUUCUGAGAUGAGCCAGUGAUGGCUUGAACCCAAACCAAGCUUCAAACGGAGUCUUCUGAGCUAGGGCCUUGGUUGGAAGUCUAUUUUGAAGAUAGAUUACUGUGUUUACUGCUUUAGCCCACAAGGUUUUAGGCAGAUUUUUUUCAAACAGGAGGCACAUUACUAUAUUCAUCAAGCUUAUGUUUUUUCUUUCACUGACCCCAUUUUGUUGAGGUGUAUAUACAUUAGUCAGCUGGUGUUUAAUACCUGUAUUUUCACAGUAAGCUUGAAACUGAGCUGAGGUAUACUUAGUUCCAUUAUCUGACCUUAGUGUCUUAAGUUUACAGCCAGCUUCAGUUUCCACAGCAACUUUAAACUUUAAAAACACAUGAGCCACUUCUGAUUUGUGUUUCAUAAAGUAAAUCCAGCAGUAUCUUGUAUGAUCAUCUAUGAAAAGAAUAAAGUACAUGUUCCCAUUAAGAGACUCGGUCUUCAUUGGUCCACACACAUCAGUGUGCACAAGCUGCAACUUCUCUGAUGCUCUCCAUGCUGUGUUUGCAGGAAAUGGAAGCCUUGCUUGCUUUCCAUAUUGACACACUUCACAAAUUUCAUCACCUUUCACUGUUUUGAUGAAAUUUUCAGCCAACUCUUCAUUAAUCAUCUGAGCCAUUGAUUUGAAGUUAACAUGUCCAAGCCUCUGGUGCCAUAGCUUGGAGUCAUCAAUAGAGGCAAUACAGGCUGAAUGUGAGUCAUUUGGCCAUUCCACUUCAAAGCACUUAUCAGUCAUGGUGACUGUCAUGAAAUUUGAUCCACUUCGAUAAAAAAUUUGGCAUUCUUUCUGCUUGAACACAACUGAGUAUCCUCUCUCUAGCAGUUGAGCUAUGCUAAGAAGGUUUCUAUUAAUUUCAGGCACUAAUAGCACAUUCGAGAUGACUUUGAUGCCUGCAGGAGUGUGUAUCUGUACAUCCCCUUUUCCUUCAGCCUUUAUAAACUGACCAUUUCCAAUUUUACUUUAGUUUUACAAGCUCUGUCCAAAGUUUUGAAAAUGGUUGCAUCUGGUGACAUGUGGUUUGUGCAUCCACUGUCCAACAACCAGCCUUUCGAGCUUUUCUUUUGGUUUGCUGAGCAUGACACAGCAAAAACUUGUUCUUCAUGAUCACUGCUAUCCUCAGCUACUCGAGCUUCUGCCUUUUGUUGCUGAAAUUGGUUCUGUCUCGGUUUGAUUUUAUUUUUGCAAACCUUUUCCACAUGCCCUUUCCUUUUGCAAUGCUGGCAUACAGCAUCUGGUCUGAACCAGCAAUCUGCUUCAGGAUAACCAGUCCUUUUGCAGUAUCUACAGGGUUGAUCUCUUUUCCUUGUGUUUUCAGACCUUGACUUGUCCCUCCAAGUCUUUUUACCUUUAUGAGCAAAGGUGCUCGAUGUUGGCUUGGCUUUUCUCCUUCUUGGUGCUCUUCUAGUCUGCUGGCCCUUCUUUGCUCUUGUGCAUACAAGGCAUUGAUUAACUCAGUUAGGGAGAUGGUUGUCAAGUCCCUUGAGUCCUCGAGAGAUGAGAUCUUUUCCUCAUACCUCUCAGGUAAUGUGGAUAUGACUUUCUCCACUAUUCUGGCUUCACCGAACUGCUCUCCUAGGAGCCUUAUGCUGUUUACAACAGCCAUAAUUCUGUCUGAAUACUGCUUCACUGUUUCUUCUUCUUUCAUCUUGAGAUUUUCAAAGUCCCUUCUCAAGUUGAGAAGCUGUUGUUGCCUUGUUCUCUCAGUCCCCUGAAACUCUUCUUUCAGCUUGUCCCAAGCCUCCUUUGGUGUUUCACAAGCCAUGAUUCUUGUGAAAAUCACAUCUGAAACACAAUUUUGUAUGCAUGACAUGGCCUUGUGCCUUUUUUUUCUUUCAUCAGCAUGUUGCCUUAUUUGAGCAAUUGUUGGAUUUGCUCUGAGAGGUGUUGGCUCAGCAUCAGAAUUAACUACCUCCCAUAGGUCGAAUUCUUGCAGGUAAGUCUUCAUUUUGACUACCCAAAUAUGAAAUCCUUCUCCAUUGAAGGUUGGUGGUGAAGCUGGUGAAAAACCUGAUGAAGCCAUGGUUUCUAGUACUGAACUACAACAGGUCCUCUAAGAAUAUGGCUCUAGAUACCAAUUGUUGGAGCUGAGAGCAACUAACAGCAAAUUUCAGCAAGAAACUUGAGCAGCAAGUGUCAUGACUUGCAGCAAAAACAAGCAAAAAACAAAACAGAACUUUUAAAGUAAAAGCAAGAAAAAAUGAAGAAAGUUUUUAAAUGAAAACUUGAUUACAUUUUCUUCAUUCAUUCAUUAUAUAAAUGGCUUAAAGCCAAUACAUAAAUCAAGCUUCUAGCUUGUUAAAAUAGUAGGUUAACCAAAACAAUACCUACCACCACUAGGUUUCCUAGUAAAUUGGAAUAAUAACUUGUACAAAUGAAUAAAGCUGGUGAACAGCUCAAUCACUAUCAAGAUUACAUCAAAUAUCAUCUUAUCAUAGUUCAAAGUGAACUAGAUUACAUUACAUAAACAAAAAAAUUCAAAAUGAAGCUAAACAUCAUUGCUUUCUCGUGCAAACUGUUGCUUCUGCAUGGUGGUCUUCAAUGCUGCAUGCUAACCACCUUUCAACAAUACUCAACCAAGUAUGAUGUUUAUAGUUUCGGAGUUCUACUUCUACAAAUUAUCAGUGGCAAGAGGAAUUCCAGUCUGUAUGGAUGCCAUGAAAACUUGAAUCUUCUAGAAUAUGUAAGUAACUUUGAGACACUUUUUUUUCUUCUCCAUUUUGCACACUUUUUUUUCAUCUCCAUUUUACAGUACGAAUAUUGUAAAAUUUAUAAUGUUGAGUGAUAAUAUCCAGGCAUACGAAUUGUGGAAACAAGGUCGAGAGGCAGAGUUUUUCGAUGCAUCACUGGAUGAUUCAUCUUCGUCAUGUAAGCUCAUUAGAUGUAUGCAAUUGGUACUGCUAUGUGUGCAGGAAAAUCCUGCAGAUAGGCCGUCAAUGGUAAAAGUUUUUACGAUUCUCAAGAACGAAAACAGUGUUGCAAUCUCUGUACCUAAGCAGCCUACAUAUUCAAUAACAAGAUACGAAAGGAAGGAAAGUAUAGACG